GACGAACGCUGGCGGCGUGCCUAAUACAUGCAAGUAGAACGCACAGUUUAUACCGUAGCUUGCUACACCAUAGACUGUGAGUUGCGAACGGGUGAAUAACGCGUAGGUAACCUGCCUGGUAGCGGGGGAUAACUAUUGGAAACGAUAGCUAAUACCGCAUAAUAUUAAUUAUUGCAUGAUAAUUAAUUGAAAGGUGCAAUUGCACCACUACCAGAUGGACCUGCGUUGUAUUAGCUAGUAGGUGAGGUAACGGCUCACCUAGGCGACGAUACAUAGCCGACCUGAGAGGGUGAUCGGCCACACUGGGACUGAGACACGGCCCAGACUCCUACGGGAGGCAGCAGUAGGGAAUCUUCGGCAAUGGACGAAAGUCUGACCGAGCAACGCCGCGUGAGUGAAGAAGGUUUUCGGAUCGUAAAGCUCUGUUGUAAGAGAAGAACGGGUGUGAGAGUGGAAAGUUCACACUGUGACGGUAUCUUACCAGAAAGGGACGGCUAACUACGUG
Molecule: ribosomal RNA, 505 nt
Filed under: uncultured bacterium
Lineage: Bacteria
Description: partial 16S ribosomal RNA
Rfam family: Bacterial small subunit ribosomal RNA
Source: RNAcentral